RNAcentral lists this transfer RNA (77 nucleotides) under bacterium ADurb.Bin363. RNAcentral describes it as "tRNA-Met". It matches the Rfam family "tRNA". From Rfam's summary of the family: Transfer RNA (tRNA) molecules are approximately 80 nucleotides in length. Their secondary structure includes four short double-helical elements and three loops (D, anti-codon, and T loops). The record is from RNAcentral.
UGGCGGCGUAGCUCAGGUGGCUAGAGCGAAGGCUUCAUAAUCCUUAGGUCCAGGGUUCAACUCCCCGCGCCGCUAUC